Molecule: transfer RNA, 76 nt
Filed under: archaeon
Lineage: Archaea
Description: tRNA-Gln
Rfam family: tRNA
About the family: Transfer RNA (tRNA) molecules are approximately 80 nucleotides in length.
Source: RNAcentral
AGCCCGGUGGUGUAGCGGUCAAGCAUACGGGGCUUUGGACCCCGUGACGGGAGGUCGAAUCUCCCCCGGGCUACCA